GUGCCAGCAGCCGCGGUAAUACAGAGGGUGCAAGCGUUGUCCGGAUUUAUUGGGUGUAAAGGGUGCGUAGGCGGGACGAUAAGUCCGAGGUGAAAGCCCGCAGCUUAACUGCGGAACUGCCUUGGAUACUGUCGACCUUGAGUCCCGGAGGGGUGGCUGGAAUUCCUGGUGUAGCGGUGAAAUGCGUAGAUAUCAGGAGGAACACCGGAGGUGUAGACGGGUCACUGGACGGGUACUGACGCUGAGGCACGAAAGCGUGGGGAGCAAACAGGAUUAGAAACCCUGGUAGUCC
This 292-nucleotide ribosomal RNA is filed under the name uncultured bacterium. RNAcentral describes it as "partial 16S ribosomal RNA". It matches the Rfam family "Bacterial small subunit ribosomal RNA", at positions 505 to 796 of the family's 1533-position model. The record is from RNAcentral.